Long non-coding RNA from Gadus morhua (Atlantic cod), 458 nucleotides. RefSeq lists it as uncharacterized. Lineage: Eukaryota; Metazoa; Chordata; Actinopteri; Gadiformes; Gadidae. The transcript is spliced from 3 exons. The record is from RefSeq and is a predicted model, not a curated record.
UUUUUAUAUGACAAAAUGAACAACCUGCCGUUGCCUGUCGAGAGAAGCGGACCCAUGAAGAAAGAAAGGAAGCGUGAAUAACCUGCAGAGAUGACGCACGUGGAAGUGUCACUGGGGGGCGGAGGUCAAGUGCUCAGUGAUCCAUGUCCAUGGGAGAUGCUGUACGCGGACGACAUGUUGGCCAUCGCUGACUCUCUGGAGGAGCUAAAGGUGUAGGUGCAGAUGUGGAUGUCGGUAAUGGAGAAAAAGGGCCUGCGAGUCAACCUGGAAAAAUAAAGAACAUGGUGUCAGAAGCGAAUAUGGACCUGCUGAAGUCCGGGACGCACCCGUGUGCUGUCUGUUUUACAGGAACAGGCAGCAACGCAAUCCUCUGUGGUUGCUGCUCUCUCUGGGUACACACAAAAAAUGAAGUGGCAUCAAGGCACCACUUCGCCCCGACCCAGACCACAAGUAUGCUC